Molecule: ribosomal RNA, 375 nt
Filed under: Triticum aestivum (bread wheat)
Lineage: Eukaryota; Viridiplantae; Streptophyta; Magnoliopsida; Poales; Poaceae
Description: partial small subunit ribosomal RNA
Source: RNAcentral
AUGAUCCUCAAUGCCCAGAAAGAAAAUCUGUUUAUUGGGCUCGCUCCAGACCUGAUAGAGGGUGGGGUGGCCAUAUUACAGUAUGCGGAUGACACGGUCAUUUGCUUCGAGCAUGACAAAGAUGCAGCUAUAAACCUUAAGCUCCUUCUGUACAUGUUCGAGCUUAUGUCAGGUUUAAAAAUUAACUUCAUGAAAAGUGAGAUUAUGUGUGUUGGGGGAGAUGAUGAGACAAUUGCCUUCUACUCCGAGCUGUUUAAUUGCAACAUUGGACAUUUCCCCAUGAAGUACCUGGGUGUACCAGUCAGCUAUUCCAUCUUGCGUAGUCUAGACUGGGAUUUCUUGGAUGAGAGAUUUCUCAAAUGUUGUGAAACCUAG